RNAcentral lists this ribosomal RNA (292 nucleotides) under uncultured bacterium. Its description in RNAcentral is "partial 16S ribosomal RNA". It matches the Rfam family "Bacterial small subunit ribosomal RNA", at positions 775 to 1067 of the family's 1533-position model. The record is from RNAcentral.
GGAUUAGAUACCCUGGUAGUCCACGCUGUAAACGAUGAGAACUAGCCGUUGGUCUUUAGAUAGACGAGUGGUGAAGCAAACGCAUUAAGUUUUCCGCCUGGGGAGUACGGCCGCAAGGUUAAAACUCAAAUGAAUUGACGGGGGCCCGCACAAGCGGUGGAGCAUGUGGUUUAAUUCGAUGCAACGCGAAGAACCUUACCUACUCUUGACAUCCUCGGGAUCUUUCAGAGAUGAAGGAGUGCUUAAUUGAGCCGAGAGACAGGUGCUGCAUGGCUGUCGUCAGCUCGUGCCG